Molecule: ribosomal RNA, 257 nt
Filed under: uncultured bacterium
Lineage: Bacteria
Description: partial 16S ribosomal RNA
Rfam family: Bacterial small subunit ribosomal RNA
Source: RNAcentral
UGACGUAGGGACCGAGCGUUUGGUCCGGAAUCAUUGGGCGUAAAGAGCGUGUAGGCGGCUUGUUAAGUCUUGGCGUGAAAUCUCGGGGCUCAACCCCGAGCGGUCGUGAGAAACUGGCAGGCUAGAGUGCGGGAGAGGAGAGUGGAAUUCCUGGUGUAGCGGUGAAAUGCGCAGAUAUCAGGAAGAACACCCGUGGCGAAGGCGGCUCUCUGGAACGCAACUGACGCUGAGACGCGAAAGCGUGGGGAGCAAACAGG